GUGCCAGCAGCCGCGGUAAGACGGGGGGUCCUAGCGUUGUUCGGAAUCAUUGGGCGUAAAGCGUGUGCAGGUGGUUUGGUAAGUUAGAUGUGAAAGCCUUGGGCUUAACCCAAGAAGUGCAUUUAAAACUACCAAACUUGAGUAUGGAAGAGGGUCGUGGAAUUCCAGGUGUAGUGGUGAAAUACGUAGAUAUCUGGAGGAACACCGGUGGCGAAGGCGGCGACCUGGUCCUAUACUGACACUCAUACACGAAAGCGUGGGGAUCAAACAGGAUUAGAUACCCUGGUAGUCC
RNAcentral lists this ribosomal RNA (292 nucleotides) under uncultured bacterium. RNAcentral's name for it is "partial 16S ribosomal RNA". It matches the Rfam family "Bacterial small subunit ribosomal RNA", at positions 505 to 796 of the family's 1533-position model. The record is from RNAcentral.